Molecule: long non-coding RNA, 231 nt
Filed under: Anolis carolinensis (green anole)
Lineage: Eukaryota; Metazoa; Chordata; Lepidosauria; Squamata; Anolidae
Description: lncRNA (ENSACAG00000037069.1)
Source: RNAcentral
CCACAUGGGCCAUCUAGUCCAACCCCCUGCUAAGAAGCAGGAAAUCGCAUUCAAAGCACCCCCGACAGAUGGCCAUCCAGCUGACUAGUGCAAUAAGAGAUUCUAUGAUUUCCUGCUUCCUGGCAGGGUGUUGGACUGGAUGGCCCAUGAGGUCACUUCCAACUCUAUGAUUCUAUGGUUUAUGAUUUCUGGUUUCCUGGCAGGGGGUUGGACUGGAUGGCCCAUGAAGUG